AAAUUUUUUUUAAAAGCAGUUUGAGGUUGCUAAUGAGUUCUUGUGAAAUUGCCUGUCUGACCGUUAGAGGCUGAUGAUACUCCAGAUGACGUGUAUACUUUUGAGGUCACCCACCUGGGCUCUAAGACCAACAUGACAGAAAGAGUUAGGAAAGCUGUCUGGCUUGGCUGCAGCAAAAGAAAACCCAGUGCCAUUUCCCCCUCAGCUUUAUUGAAGUGUAACUGGCAAAUAAAAAUUCCCUAGAAAAAAUUGCCCAUAAUUAAGGUCUACAAUGUGGUUUCCUGCUAUGCAAUGUACGAAAUACGAAAUACGCGUACAUUGUGAAAUGUUUACCACGAUGAAGCUAAUGAACUUAUCCAUCAGAUUACAUAGUUACCUUUUUUAUUUUUUUGCCACUGACUUUUGGAAUCCUGAAUUCACAGAGCCUGGUUGCUUGGCUCCCACUCUGGGCUGACACCUGCUGUUGUCUGCUGCGAGCCAUUUCAGCCCCACCACGAGCUGUGUGGAAUGAAAAUCAGGUGAAAUCACUCCACUCGAUGAGCUGGCCAGAUUUGGGACACCCCUCUGCGGAGCGGCCGCUGUGAAAACAUUACGGGUGCUGCCGGACCGUCUGGUUGUGCAGAUGUCCACGAUGAAGGGUUUGCUUUCUGAUGGCACAAGUUAAAACUCAGCUGCUGAUCGGCUAUUUCUGGUGCAGACUCGUUGCCUUCCUAACUGUGAUUCCUGCCCAAAGCAGCAGGUUGGGCGAGGGCAUGUCACAAGGACCAUGACCCUCCCACCCACUCCUGGCAGAUGGGAGACAUCUCAUGGCUAUGGAUUGUUGCAUUUGACUUUUCCACUAGUUGUAGUCUCCAUCAAUGAACUGACUGAUAGUCUGAUUCUCUGGUUUUGAGAGAGAGAGAGAAGAAGGAAGAAAGAAGAGAGAGAGAGAGAGAGAGAGGGGAUCCAAAGUAGGCUCUGUGCUACCAGCAUAGAGCCCAAUGCGAGGUUUGAACUCACAGACCAUGAGGUCAUGAUCUAAGCUGAAGUCGGACCCUUAACCAACUGAGCCACCCGGGCACCCCAAGAAUUAAAGUUUUAAUUACUGAGUGGGACAUAGUGACUUUUUAACAACAGAGAAAAACAAAAUCCCAGUACCUGGGAGGCUCAGGGGAUAAGAGGAGAGAGCAUCACUGAUCUUGGCUUUUCAGAACUGUUCUAGCUUGGAACUGAUGGCCUCAAGUAGUCCCUCUUAAGCUAAUAACUCAAGGGAAUUAUUUGGACCGCAGCCAGAACCCUAGGAUAGGAGGUCCCAUCUGGGGAGUCCUGAUACCUUGACUUUCAGACAAAUACACACCCUCCUAGGAGGGCCCUGACACUGUAAACUCUGUUUCAGGUGGGGGGGUGGGCAGGUUUGGCCUCUGGGACUGUACUUCUUCUGUGAGUCCCCUGGACAUCAUGAUAUUCAUUGCCUGUGCCCCGGAAGGUGUUCAAAGCAGCUUCAACUUACUGGCCACAGGUGUGCUGUGCUGAAUCCUUGCGCCUCUGCUCAGAUUUUAUUUUUCAGGCUCUGUGCUGACAGCAGAGAGCCCGACACGGGGCUCGAACUCGCGAACUGUGAGAUCAUGACCUGAACUGAAGUCUGAUGCUUAACUGCUUGAGAUACCCAGGCACCCUGAGACUGAGUUUUUAAAUUAAGAAAAGAUCUUUAGCUGAGGGAAUGGGAUCUGUCUCCAAGUUGUCACCUUGGAAGGCAGAGCACCUUAAAAUAAUAAUAAUAAUAACAAAAACUCCAAUUUUCUGGUCACUGAUUUAUGUGCCAGGCACCGUGCUAAGCACAUUAUAUACUGUGCUCUUUACUCAUUAAAUCCCCAAAUAACCCUCAGAGGUAAGUGCUAUCAACAUCCCCAUUACAGAUUAGAAAACAGAGGCUCAGAGAGGUGUCUGAGCACAGCGAAAAAGUGACAGAACUGAGAAAUGAACCAGGCCUGACUCUCUCCAUAGCCUACAAGCUAGCCACUUCCAGCCAUGCUGUCAUUACUCAGAUAUUUUGGGAAAUGCUUUGGGAAUGACCUCUGAGCCCAUUUUCAAGCAGCAGGAAAAACAAACAAACAAACAAACAAACAAACAAACAAACAAAAAUCCAGUCUCCUGGUUGUACUCAUUAAGACCUGGAGAAGUUCCUCUUCAUUUGGCCUCUGGCAGAGUGGGAAGGGCAGGCAUGGCAGGAGGCCAGGGUGGGCCCAGGAGGGAGCUAGGAGACCUGUGGGCAUGCGCAGGGGCUCCGUUGGCGGGCUGGAGAGGCAGAGGUGGGUGCCCCGUCACUGAGCAACCUUCGGUAAGUCACUUCUCUCUGAACCUCAGUUUCCGUGGCGUCCCGAUGGAGUGGGGGCUGGCAUGGGUGGUGAAAGAAUUCACCCAAGUCAGAACAAAGGAGAUGGAGACUUAUUGAAUACACUGCAAGAGAGCAGCGGGCAGGACAGCAAAGGAGAGACUGUCUGCCACCAGGCGGUAUUGUGGGGCCACAGUUACAGGGUGGGAGGAGGAGAUAUGGGAACAUAUGGGAACUUUUUUUUUUUUUUUUGGUAACUGUGUAAAUGGCCCAUUGGUUAGUUAAGGCCUGUGGCUAUUUUAAGAAGAGUUGCCUAAUGAGCCUACUUCAUUGGGGGCGGGGGGUGGCUGUGGGCUAAUUUACCUCACUCAGGUUUCCACUGCUCAAGCCUGUUGCCUAGAAGUGGCCCUGAUCAUCCCCCCACCCCGACAGGUCGGCAAUGACAAAUCCUUGGCAUUUGAGUGGAAGUCUCAUCUUCAACGGCUUCUUCCUGCUGAACGAGGGGUGUAGAGAUGUCCCUACGUAUGGAUCAACAUUGGUCGGUUGGGAAUUUAUAUGUUGGGAUUAUGAAAGGCAGAGGCGGCUGUAUCCAAGGCAGAUAGCACGUGUGAAUUUUCCCAAGUGGAAAGGAUCAUCUGUCAGCUCAAACAUGUGGCCGUGAAGGAAUCUCGGCACCAGGCGGAGAGAGAUCUGGAAAAUAAGAUGAUGAUUAUUAGGAUGAAAAAGAAAAGCCCUAAUUAAACGACUUUUGACCCAAA
Molecule: long non-coding RNA, 3069 nt
Organism: Neofelis nebulosa (Clouded leopard)
Lineage: Eukaryota; Metazoa; Chordata; Mammalia; Carnivora; Felidae
Exons: 2
Source: RefSeq, a predicted model, not a curated record